CAGCCGCCACGGUAAUACGUAGGGGGCGAGCGUUGUCCGAAGUUACUGGGCGUAAAGAGCGCGUAGGCUGGUCUUUAAGUGAGUGGUGAAAGGUUCGGGCUCAACCCGGACACUGCCUUUCAUACUGGGGACCUUGAGUGUGGGAGAGGCGAGUGGAAUGGUCGGUGUAGCGGUGAAAUGCGUAGAUAUCGAUCGGAACACCCAUGGCGAAGGCAGCUCGCUGGCCUAACACUGACGCUGAGGCGCGAAAGCGUGGGGAGCAAACAGGAUUAGAUACCCGCGUAGUCCCUGUCUCUUAUAA
RNAcentral lists this ribosomal RNA (301 nucleotides) under uncultured bacterium. RNAcentral describes it as "partial 16S ribosomal RNA". It matches the Rfam family "Bacterial small subunit ribosomal RNA", at positions 509 to 809 of the family's 1533-position model. The record is from RNAcentral.